RNAcentral lists this ribosomal RNA (634 nucleotides) under Hyperiidae sp. 4 AT-2018. RNAcentral describes it as "eukaryotic LSU rRNA". The stretch from base 116 to 612 matches the Rfam family "Eukaryotic large subunit ribosomal RNA", at positions 965 to 1383 of the family's 3401-position model. The record is from RNAcentral. Lineage: Eukaryota; Metazoa; Arthropoda; Malacostraca; Amphipoda; Hyperiidae.
UGAGUCUGGACUCUUCGGUACACCAAAGCGUGCUGGUAGUCCGUCCCAAUUGUCUGCAGUUGUUGAGGGUUGGCGAGCCAAGAACUCCUAUCUCACUCUCUAGUCAAACCAGGGUAGCGUAUCAUUUGGAUCGUGAGCAGUUACGUCUGGUAAAGAGAAUGAGUAGAGUUAGCUCGUUGCUUCUUAUAGCAACAGCAGCGGGGCGUUCUACGCCUCACACUAUUAUCAAACUUUAAAUGGGCGAGGUACUCGGUAUUUUCUUAAUUGCUUGAUACCGGGGCGAAACACGUCGUGAUUUUAUCGUUGGGACGAAGGUGAAUGCGUGCGCGCAAAGUGGGUCCUUUCUGGUAAGCAGAACUGAUAAUGAGGGAUGAACCUAACGUAUGUGCUAAGGGGCCAAAGAGACAGCUAUUUCUCGAAACCAUUGGAAAGGUGUUGCUUGCUGAAGACAGCAGGACGGUGGUCAUGGAAGUCGAUAUCCGCUAAGGAGUGUGUAACUACUCAUCCUGCCGAAGCGAGUAACCCUGAAAAUGGAUGGCUCUAUAGCUCUCUCCCGAUGCACAACCGUCAGUAGCACUUGAGUCACCUCGUGUCUCUACGCUCUGACGAGUAAAAUGGCUAUGCUGCACUGCUU